GUUGAGAUCAACUGCAGGGACUGCAGAUACAUUUGCAAGAUGGACAUUAUUUUCUGGAGUUAUUACGCUGCGUUGAAGCAAGCUGUCCCAUUUCUGUUCCCAUGGUCAGAGCCAGA
Etheostoma spectabile (orangethroat darter) is the source of this 116-nucleotide long non-coding RNA. RefSeq lists it as uncharacterized. Lineage: Eukaryota; Metazoa; Chordata; Actinopteri; Perciformes; Percidae. The transcript is spliced from 3 exons. The record is from RefSeq and is a predicted model, not a curated record.